Betta splendens (Siamese fighting fish) is the source of this 70-nucleotide small nucleolar RNA. Its record names the gene SNORD58. It matches the Rfam family "Small nucleolar RNA SNORD58". From Rfam's summary of the family: snoRNA U58 is found in introns 1, 3 and 6 of the ribosomal protein RPL17 gene in humans. NCBI's taxonomy places the organism in Eukaryota, Metazoa, Chordata, Actinopteri, Anabantiformes, Osphronemidae. The record is from Ensembl.
UCGCUGUGAUGACUCCUUAGGACACCUUUAGAUGAACCAUGAAAACAGCUACGCUACAAAUCUGAGCCAC